Molecule: long non-coding RNA, 516 nt
Filed under: Homo sapiens (human)
Lineage: Eukaryota; Metazoa; Chordata; Mammalia; Primates; Hominidae
Description: PREDICTED lncRNA (TCONS_00065943)
Source: RNAcentral
GCAGGGUUGCCGAGCUCUCGCAAUCGCGCUUUACCUGCCCAGGCAAGCCGCGGCAAGAACGCAAGGGGCGCGAAGAUAAACCGACACUUUCCCAACCGCUUCACCACCCCUCAGCGACUUCCGCUUCCGGCGACUCCAUGGGGAAACUGAAGCCCUAGAGGAAAAGAAGACUAAAUGUAUUACCAUCUGACCCACUUCCUGGCCAGCCUGUUCACCUGUCUGCUGUUCUUCAUUGUGGCAGGUGUAUGUGUGAGUUUGCAGCUCAAUCCUGGCCAAGGGGAUCCAAGGACUGCUGAAGAGGCAUGUCUGCACAUGUCACCUAGAACAUCUCCAGCCAUCAUGUGAUCUCUGGGGGAGGCAUUCCCAACUCUCUGAGAGAAGCAGACCAGAAAGAUGGAAAGAAAGCACCUGGCUCCAGGAUGAUGACAUUGAGCCGAUGAAUUAACCACCUUUGUGCUGCUCUAACCUUCAGAGUUCACCUUAACAUGAGAAAAUAAAACCCUUAUUGCUUAGCCA